GUACACUCCUACGGGAGGCAGCAGUGGGGAAUAUUGGACAAUGGGCGCAAGCCUGAUCCAGCCAUGCCGCGUGAGUGAUGAAGGCCCUAGGGUUGUAAAGCUCUUUCACCGGUGAAGAUAAUGACGGUAACCGGAGAAGAAGCCCCGGCUAACUUCGUGCCAGCCGCCGCGGUAAUACGAAGGGGGCUAGCGUUGUUCGGAUUUACUGGGCGUAAAGCGCACGUAGGCGGACUAUUAAGUCAGGGGUGAAAUCCCGGGGCUCAACCCCGGAACUGCCUUUGAUACUGGUAGUCUUGAGUUCGAGAGAGGUGAGUGGAAUUCCGGGUGUAGAUGUGAAAUUCGUAGAUAUUCGGAGGAACACCAGUGGCGAAGGCGGCUCACUGGCUCGAUACUGACGCUGAGGUGCGAAAGCGUGGGGAGCAAACAGGAUUAGAAACCCGUGUAGUCCCAUG
RNAcentral lists this ribosomal RNA (452 nucleotides) under uncultured organism. Its description in RNAcentral is "partial 16S ribosomal RNA". It matches the Rfam family "Bacterial small subunit ribosomal RNA", at positions 331 to 799 of the family's 1533-position model. The record is from RNAcentral.